GAUGAACGCUAGCGGCAGGCCUAACACAUGCAAGUCGAGGGGUAACAGAAUAGCUUGCUAUUGCUGACGACCGGCGCACGGGUGCGUAACGCGUAUACAAUCUACCUUAUACAGGAGGAUAGCCCUAAGAAAUUGGGAUUAAUACUCCAUAGUAAUUUGAAUUCGCAUGAAUUUAAGUUUAAAACUUCGGUGGUAUAAGAUGAGUAUGCGUGAUAUUAGCUAGUUGGUAAGGUAACGGCUUACCAAGGCGACGAUAUCUAGGGGGCCUGAGAGGGUUAUCCCCCACACUGGUACUGAGACACGGACCAGACUCCUACGGGAGGCAGCAGUGAGGAAUAUUGGACAAUGGGCGCAAGCCUGAUCCAGCCAUCCCGCGUGCAGGAUGACGGCCCUAUGGGUUGUAAACUGCUUUUUUAAA
This 418-nucleotide ribosomal RNA is filed under the name uncultured bacterium. RNAcentral's name for it is "bacterial SSU rRNA". It matches the Rfam family "Bacterial small subunit ribosomal RNA", at positions 28 to 442 of the family's 1533-position model. The record is from RNAcentral.